UCCUAAGACAAAUAUCUGAGGCUCGAAUGG
This 30-nucleotide non-coding RNA is filed under the name Rattus norvegicus (Norway rat). Lineage: Eukaryota; Metazoa; Chordata; Mammalia; Rodentia; Muridae. The record is from RNAcentral.